This 253-nucleotide ribosomal RNA is filed under the name uncultured bacterium. Its description in RNAcentral is "partial 16S ribosomal RNA". It matches the Rfam family "Bacterial small subunit ribosomal RNA", at positions 524 to 776 of the family's 1533-position model. The record is from RNAcentral.
UACGAAGGGGGCUAGCGUUGCUCGGAAUGACUGGGCGUAAAGGGCGCGUAGGCGGAUGGCACAGUCAGAUGUGAAAUUCCCGGACUUAACCUGGGGGCUGCAUUUGAUACGUGUUGUCUUGAGUUCGGAAGAGGGUCGUGGAAUUCCCAGUGUAGAGGUGAAAUUCGUAGAUAUUGGGAAGAACACCGGUGGCGAAGGCGGCGACCUGGUCCGACACUGACGCUGAGGCGCGAAAGCCAGGGGAGCAAACGGG